RNAcentral lists this ribosomal RNA (1499 nucleotides) under uncultured Bordetella sp. RNAcentral describes it as "partial 16S-23S ribosomal RNA intergenic spacer". It matches the Rfam family "Bacterial small subunit ribosomal RNA". The record is from RNAcentral. Lineage: Bacteria; Pseudomonadati; Pseudomonadota; Betaproteobacteria; Burkholderiales; Alcaligenaceae.
GGUUCGUUCUGGCUCAGAUUGAACGCUGGCCCGGGAUGCUUUACACAUACAGGUCUGGACAGCAGCACCGGAAGCUCGAUCCUGCUGGUUUAUGAAAAGCGAAGAGUUGGCGAACCGGGUGGAAAAUGUCUAUUCGGAACAUUGCCUAAUGGCGGGGGAUUAACUGCAGCGUAGCUAAUACCACGCCAUGUCAGGGAAAGCGGGGACCUUCGGGCCUCGCAUAAUGGAGCGGCCGAUAUCGGAUUAGCUGAUUGGUGGGGUAACGGCUCACCAAAGGGCGACGAUCCGUAGCUGGUUUUGAGAGGACGACCAGCCACACUGGACUGAACCUGGCCAGACUCCUGGGAGGCAACGGUGGGGAAUUUUGGACAAUGGAAACCCUGAUCCAGCCAUCCCGCGUGUGGUAAGUGCUUUACCGGGUUUGUCAUGCACAGCGGGAAAGAAACGGCACGGGGAUAAUACCCCGAUGCAACUGACGGUACCUGCAGAAUAACACCGGCUAACUACGUACCAGCAGCCGCCUUGAUAAUAACGUGGGAACCUGGCGUUGUCGAAUUGCCCGGGCGUAAAGCGUGCGCAGGCGGUUCAGGAAGAAGAUGUGAAAUCCAGAGCUUAACUUUGGAACUGCGUUUUUAACUACCGAGCUAGAGUGUGUCAGAGGGAGGUGGAAUUUCCGCGUGUAGCAGUGAAAUGCGUAGAUGUGCCGGGCUUACCGAUGGCGAAGGCAGCCUCUGGGAUAACGCGGCGCUCAUGCACGAAAGCGUAAGGGAGCAAACAGGAUUAGAUACCCUGGUAAGUCCCGCCUUUCCGGCGAUGUCAACUGGCUUAUUGGGGACGCUGGGCCUUGGUGACGCAAGCUAACAGCGUGAAGUUGACCGCCUGAAGAUGCAGUCGCAAGAUUAAAACUCAAGGAAUUGACGGGGACCCGCACAAGCGGUGGAUGAUGUGGAUUAAUUCGAUGCAGCACGCGAAAGAAGCCUUCUCUCUGUAAACAUGAAUCGAAGAUUUGGAGUGCUCGCAAAGAGAACCGGAACACAGGUGCUGCAUGGCUGUCGUCCAGCUCGUGUCGUGAGAUGUUGGGUUAGUCCCGCAACGAGCGCAACCCCUUGUCAUUAGUUGCUGCGAAGGGCGCUCUAAUGAGACUGCCGGUGACAAACCGGAGGAAGGUGGGGAUGACGUCGUUCUUCACUUUGGCCCGCCACGCUGGGUGAGGCUGCGUUAGCCACUGGCCGGACAGGGUUGAGGUCGCCAACCUGCUGAAGGCCAAUCCCAGAAGCCGAUCGUGGUCCGGAUCUGAUCUGCAACUCGACUGCGUGAAGUCAGGAAUCGCUAGUAAUCGCGGAUCAGCAUGUCGCCCAGUGAAUACGUUCCCGGGUCUUGUACACACCGCCCGUCACACCAUGGGAGUGGGUUUUACCAAGUAGUUAGCCUAACCGUAAGAGGAGGGCGAUUACCGCGGUAGGAUUCAUGACUGGGGUGCCGAAGUCGUAACAAGGUAA